RNAcentral lists this ribosomal RNA (259 nucleotides) under uncultured bacterium. Its description in RNAcentral is "partial 16S ribosomal RNA". It matches the Rfam family "Bacterial small subunit ribosomal RNA", at positions 95 to 353 of the family's 1533-position model. The record is from RNAcentral.
CCGGCGCACGGUGAGUAACACGUAUCCAACCUGCCGUCUACUCUUGGACAGCCUUCUGAAAGGAAGAUUAAUACAAGAUGGCAUCAUGAGUCCGCAUGUUCACAUGAUUAAAGGUAUUCCGGUAGACGAUGGGGAUGCGUUCCAUUAGAUAGUAGGCGGGGUAACGGCCCACCUAGUCUUCGAUGGAUAGGGGUUCUGAGAGGAAGGUCCCCCACAUUGGAACUGAGACACGGUCCAAACUCCUACGGGAGGCAGCAUG